AUGGCGUCGUCGGCGCUUCGCUGCCUUCCAGGCGACAUCCCGCCGACGACGCUGCUCACCCUACCAAACGAGAUGCUCGAGGAAAUCCUCCUCUGCCUCUCCGACGCCGGCGACCUCGUCCGCGCCUCCAUGGCCCGAGUCUCCAUCCGCCGCCUCGUCACGAAUCACCGCUUCCUCCGCCGGUUCCGCACUCGCUACCCGCCGUCUCUACUGGGCAUCGUCUCUCCCCUUCCCCGGCCCCGCUGGGACCGGCCGCUGCUGCAACUGGCCCAGCCGCCGCACCCCUCCGCGGCCGCCGCGGCCGCUUUCUCCGGGCUUGACGACGCCGCCGCCGCCGACUUCUCAUGCGCCUUCCUCCCCAACCCCGCGCGCUGGCGUAGGCGCGACUUGCGGGACGGCCGCGCCCUCUUUUCCGGCGUCCCAGAGGGCACCAAUUUCGACUGCCACGUCUUUGUCAGGGACCUGGCUGUCUGUGACCCCCUGUCCCGGCGCUACAUCCUGCUACCUUCCAUCCCCGACGACCUAGCCGCCUUGGUGCAGCCACCCGACGUGCUGCGUUUCGAGCCCUUCCUUGCUCCUCCGGCGGCCGAGGAUGAGGACGGCUUGUCUUUCAGAGUUAUUUGCUUGGUGCAGUGCAAAACCAAGCUGGUCCUCCUCAUCUUCUCUUCAGGUUCAGGUGCUGAACAAUGGCGUGCUGUUACAUUUGACAAUUGGAUCAGUUUGCUCACAGGAUCAGGUAACCAGCCAGAGUCAUACCGGCGGUCAGUAAUACGCCACUAUGCACACGGCUACUUCUGUUGGGUGCUUUCUCCGGCAAGCAAGUUGCUCAUGCUCGACACACGCAGCAUGGGUUUCUCAGUUGUGGACCUCCCAGAUGGCACCGGUGAAAAUGAAGCACAGGUUGCCAUUUUGGAGGCAGCGAAUGGAAGGAUUAAGAUGUUUAUUAAUGAGCAUUUCACAACUGAACUCAGGUAUUAUGUGUUGCAAAAUGAUGGAGUUGGUGCAAACCAGUGGCUGUCAGAGGCAACGUUCAAUUUACCCGUAAAUAAUGGCGGCUAUAUAUUCAUGGGCGUAGCGGGGGGAUACUUACUCCUACAAGGGCUUGGAGAAGACGACCAAUAUCCAUUCCAUUUGGUUUCGUUGAAUCUGAAGACUUUACAGCUUGAGUUGUUCCUUGCAUCAAAGCGCAAUAACAAGGGUGCUCAUCUGUUUGCCGGUUUCCCACCAUCCUUGUCUUUACCAACUCUUCGACAUGAUAUCUGA
Molecule: ribosomal RNA, 1263 nt
Filed under: Triticum aestivum (bread wheat)
Lineage: Eukaryota; Viridiplantae; Streptophyta; Magnoliopsida; Poales; Poaceae
Description: partial small subunit ribosomal RNA
Source: RNAcentral